UGGGGUGUAGCUCAGUGGUAGAGCACUUGCAUAGCAUGUACAAGGAGGCCCUGGAUUCUAUCCCCAGCACCACAC
RNAcentral lists this transfer RNA (75 nucleotides) under Marmota marmota marmota (Alpine marmot). It matches the Rfam family "tRNA". From Rfam's summary of the family: Transfer RNA (tRNA) molecules are approximately 80 nucleotides in length. Their secondary structure includes four short double-helical elements and three loops (D, anti-codon, and T loops). RNAcentral also lists the same sequence under 1 other name. The record is from Rfam by way of RNAcentral. Lineage: Eukaryota; Metazoa; Chordata; Mammalia; Rodentia; Sciuridae.